RNAcentral lists this ribosomal RNA (89 nucleotides) under uncultured bacterium. RNAcentral describes it as "partial 16S ribosomal RNA". The record is from RNAcentral.
AAAGUGAAUUGUACUAGAAGUCUGCAGGCUAACCGGCUUUUGAAAGAGAGCUGGGGGCAGCGGCCAAGGUAUGAUCCAUGAUUGGGGUG